CCUACGGGAGGCUGCAGUGGGGAAUAUUGGGCAAUGGGCGCAAGCCUGACCCAGCAACGCCGCGUGAAGGAAGAAGGCUUUCGGGUUGUAAACUUCUUUUCUCAGGGACGAAGAAAGUGACGGUACCUGAGGAAUAAGCCACGGCUAACUACGUGCCAGCAGCCGCGGUAAUCCGUAGGUGGCAAGCGUUAUCCGGAUGUACUGGGUGUAAAGGGCGUGUAGGCGGGAAAGCAAGUCAGAUGUGAAAACCAUGGGCUCAACCUGUGGCCUGCAUUUGAAACUGUUUUUCUUGAGUACUGGAGAGGCAGACGGAAUUCCUCGUGUAGCGGUGAAAUGCGUAGAUAUGAGGAGGAACACCAGUGGCGAAGGCGGUCUGCUGGACAGCAACUGACGCUGAGGUGCGAAAGCGUGGGGAGCAAACAGGAUUAGAUACCCUAGUAGUC
RNAcentral lists this ribosomal RNA (443 nucleotides) under uncultured bacterium. Its description in RNAcentral is "partial 16S ribosomal RNA". It matches the Rfam family "Bacterial small subunit ribosomal RNA", at positions 338 to 795 of the family's 1533-position model. The record is from RNAcentral.